Molecule: ribosomal RNA, 253 nt
Filed under: uncultured bacterium
Lineage: Bacteria
Description: partial 16S ribosomal RNA
Rfam family: Bacterial small subunit ribosomal RNA
Source: RNAcentral
UACGUAGGGGGCAAGCGUUGUCCGGAAUCAUUGGGCGUAAAGAGCGUGUAGGCGGUUCGGUAAGUCGGCUGUGAAAGUCCAGGGCUCAACCCUGGGAUGCCGGUCGAUACUGCCGGACUAGAGUUCGGAAGAGGCGAGUGCAAUUCCCGGUGUAGCGGUGAAAUGCGCAGAUAUCGGGAGGAACACCUAUGGCGAAGGCAGCUCGCUGGGACGUUACUGACGCUGAGACGCGAAAGCGUGGGGAGCAAACAGG